GCAGAAUACCACGUUACAUCCUGAUACACCUGCCUUCACACUUCCUGCUCAAACCAACCCAAGGAGAGGAGAAAUCUUCCACAUAGCAAUCAUUGCCACUAAAUACACACCCUUGUGAAAACUGGCUUAAAAGCACGGCACGGUGGGCACGGUCAGAUGGCAGAGCUACAGCAGCAGUUUGGGCACUGGGGGAUGUUCCCACCACCCCAAUGGUAAUAUCACCCUCUCCUUGCCAUGCUGCUGAUGGGAAAGGAUCCUGGAUCCUGAGCCCCUGGCACAGCAAUAGGAAGGGGGGCACCAGGUGACGACGGAAGGGAAUGGGAUGAUCAAAAUAUCGAGAGAGCUUAACCCAAGCAAGCAGAGGAUUUAAUAAACUCCUGGCCUAGCCCGCUGCCUGCA
This 399-nucleotide long non-coding RNA is filed under the name Phasianus colchicus (ring-necked pheasant). RNAcentral's name for it is "lncRNA (ENSPCLG00000011656.1)". Lineage: Eukaryota; Metazoa; Chordata; Aves; Galliformes; Phasianidae. The record is from RNAcentral.